This 497-nucleotide ribosomal RNA is filed under the name uncultured bacterium. RNAcentral's name for it is "partial 16S ribosomal RNA". It matches the Rfam family "Bacterial small subunit ribosomal RNA", at positions 28 to 507 of the family's 1533-position model. The record is from RNAcentral.
GAUGAACGCUGGCGGCGUGCCUAAUACAUGCAAGUCGAGCGAACGGACGAGAAGCUUGCUUCUCUGAUGUUAGCGGCGGACGGGUGAGUAACACGUGGAUAACCUACCUAUAAGACUGGGAUAACUUCGGGAAACCGGAGCUAAUACCGGAUAAUAUUUUGAACCGCAUGGUUCAAAAGUGAAAGACGGUCUUGCUGUCACUUAUAGAUGGAUCCGCGCUGCAUUAGCUAGUUGGUAAGGUAACGGCUUACCAAGGCAACGAUGCAUAGCCGACCUGAGAGCAGGAGGGGGCACAGUGGAAGAAACACCCGGUAGGCACACCUACGGGAGGGAGCAGCAGGGAAUGAUCAGAGAUGGGAGAAAGCCUGCAGAAGCAGGUUAACGUGAGUGAUGAAGGUCUUAGGAUCGUAAAAAUCUGUUAUUGGAAAAGAACAUAUGUGUAAGUACCUGUGAACAUCUUGAGGCUACCUAAUCAGAAAGCCAAGGCUAACUACGUG